RNAcentral lists this microRNA precursor (87 nucleotides) under Aotus nancymaae (Ma's night monkey). RNAcentral's name for it is "miRNA (ENSANAG00000014872.1)". The record is from RNAcentral. Lineage: Eukaryota; Metazoa; Chordata; Mammalia; Primates; Aotidae.
CUCACCUCACUCAUUUACCUUCUCUUACAGAUCACUUUCCCUGCAUUGGACAGGGAUCUGUAAGAGAAAGUAAAUAAAUGAGGUGAG